RNAcentral lists this unclassified non-coding RNA (213 nucleotides) under Hevea brasiliensis (rubber tree). The record is from RNAcentral. Lineage: Eukaryota; Viridiplantae; Streptophyta; Magnoliopsida; Malpighiales; Euphorbiaceae.
AAGAUUUUAUAUGAUGUGAUGUUGUUGGUUUAGGGUUAUAUUUUGGGAAUUAUUGGUGUGUAGGAAGAAAGAAAGAAUGGUGGGUGGAGUUUGUGAGAUGGAAAGAUAAGAAAUGAGAUUAUAUUAUGUUUAGAGUUAAUAUUUUAAAAUUUAAAUUUGGAGAUAUGAUUUAUGUGUUUAAAUAUUUUUUUGGUUUUUUAUUGUUUUAUUAGU